This is a non-coding RNA of Heterocephalus glaber (naked mole-rat), 1019 nucleotides long. NCBI's taxonomy places the organism in Eukaryota, Metazoa, Chordata, Mammalia, Rodentia, Bathyergidae. The record is from RefSeq and is a predicted model, not a curated record.
GGUCCUCCCAAAGAGCCUGGAGAAGUCACUGGGGGCUCAGGAGGCCAGAAGGGGUCCUCUUGGGCUCCCCGGGAUGUUAUGGUCACAGCUUCUUGGUUAUAGACCAGAAGGAGGAGGCUGGAGAGACACGUUUAGUCAGCGUGUCCUUCGUUACCCUUCCCUUCCAAACCACCGACCAGAACAUCUGUAAGCAAAGGAAUAGAACAGACCACAGGAAAAGUGCGGGGACUCCAGAUCAGAACACUUCUGUGAUGUCACUGGGACUAUUCUUAGAGAAGCUGGCUCCCUGGGAGAAAGCAUAUGGCCCUCGGAGACUCCUACCAUGUAAUCUUUGGGCGGGCCGCCAUGGGUGGGACUGGGAUACAGUUACCUUCCACUUACAGCCCCAUGGGCAGUGUCAGCGCCCACUGGCCCUGGCUUCCGGCCACAUGUUCUCUAAAGAAAAUCAGCCACCAAGAUGGUCAUGACCCUAACCCGACUCUGACUUACACCCUGAAGGAGGCGCAUGUGUUUUUGUAGGAAGACCAGAAAAUCUUUGGCUCACUGGCACUUUAAGCACAUUCAGAUAACCAUUUUAAGGGAAAAUCAGGACCCUGUCAUAGGCUGUCAUAGUCCUGUCUUUUGAAAGAGGUGGAGCAACUCUGUCCCCAAGCUGAUUUGAAUGUGACUUGCUACAUCUGCUUCUGUCCUCCUACCUGCCUAGGAAAUCGUGACCAAGCAGGGACAGCCAGAGUAAGGAAUUGGUGUGCACACGCUUCAAGCCACUGACCCAAAGUCCCUGGCAGGGCUUGCUGCAUGGACAGUUGCCUAACGUUAGAAGCGCUACAGGCCGGAAGGAGACUCAGAGAAGGGCUGGAGCUGGGUCCGGGGAACGGCUUCUGUGAACAUGCAAGGCGAGUGUGGCCCUGUCCCCCUGGACCGUGUGUGUGGCCUCUCAGUCCUCUCUAGGUGACCCUGGCCAUUCCCAUGCCCUACCAGGCUGUGCAGGACGUCAGGCUGAGACAGUAGAGUGGCGAUGG